UUGUUUCAAGAAUGCUCCAAAUUUCAAGGAGAUAAUUUUAAGAUAUCAUUAUAUACAUAUUAUAUACAUAUAAAUUUACUGCAGUUCUUCGUUUUUAAAUUAUUACAAUAAAGAAUCUUUUAAUAAAAAAAUAUUCACAAAUAAAUUCAGUGAAUAUGUGAAAGAAGAUUAUUACUAUUGCAAAAAUAUUCAGAGUGUGUACGGCUUUAUAAUGAUCGACGAAUCACGUCGAAUUGAUGAUGAUCGCAAUCACGAACAGGAAUCAUGAAAAAAAGAAAUUGGUUCGACCGCAAUUAUAACCAGAUCCUCAAUUACCAUUCCUAAUUACAUCGAUCAAAGCAAUUAUGCGCGUUGUACCGACGUCGUCAUCCGAAGAUUAAAGAAAAUGAGCAGUCCAAGGGUCCUGAGCACGCGAUCGAUCAUUCAUUGGCAUCUCAUCGAAAAGAAGGCGUGAUGGCUGACGAUUGCAUUCGCCAUCCACUACGAUUUCUCCCACUAUACAACCACACUCUGUCCUCCUACUCUGAUGCUAGUUGGGCCACGUCUUUCUGAAAAAUGUACCAUCGCCGACCAUUGGGUGCAAUGGAAAUCAAGGCUACCGAUUGGACAGCCUCUAAUGCUCGCUUAGGAAUAUUACGACCUCGUGCAACGAAUCCAACGCACGUGAAGAUGCAGAUUAAUGUAAUCUUCAUCAGCUAUAACGUUAUCGAGUCGGAUCGACGACGUCACCGCCUUCGAGUUGCUCCACGCGAAGGAUUUAUGUUAAUUCUGAGCCAUACUAUUCUACGUGAAGCUGGACGGCUUCCUUCUUACUCGACACUCUCGCAUAAGUAGGCGAUUCAAGUGCCGCUUCGUGCAAAGAGCCACGAAACGUAAAACAGAGCACAAAAAGAGCAAUCCAUGAGGUGGAUGAGAAGGAAGCCUUCCAUAAGGAAGCCAAGUUUACGAGAUGAUUGUCCUACGGGCCCUAUUCAUUCGACAUGGAAUCUCCAAGCGGAUCUCUAUUGUAGAUUAUUGCGCCAUUGUCCAUUGUCGCGCAAUCCGCCACAACUGGCCUUCUUAGAUCUCUUUGACGCAAGGAAAAAAAAAAAAUUCGGCAAGAAUGAAAACGGCGGCAUCAGAUUAUAGUGUUUCUCAAAAUAGUUUGGAUUAUGAAUAGUGCAAAACCAUUCCAUAUUGCAUCAAGCAAUUAUAUGUGUAUAUAUAUAGUAAAAAAUAUGGAGAAAAUAACAUGCGAAAAAUACGUAUGUAAAUAUAAACAAAUGUAGAAAUUUUAUUUGUAGAUUCACUGUCGUGGCGUGUUAACCCGAAAUGUAUACAUUAAGAGGAUAACACGUUCAGAAAUAAAUUCAAAACUUGAAAUAAAAA
Formica exsecta is the source of this 1368-nucleotide long non-coding RNA. RefSeq lists it as uncharacterized. Lineage: Eukaryota; Metazoa; Arthropoda; Insecta; Hymenoptera; Formicidae. The record is from RefSeq and is a predicted model, not a curated record. The transcript has 3 exons.